This 566-nucleotide ribosomal RNA is filed under the name uncultured bacterium. RNAcentral describes it as "partial 16S ribosomal RNA". It matches the Rfam family "Bacterial small subunit ribosomal RNA", at positions 355 to 941 of the family's 1533-position model. The record is from RNAcentral.
UGGGGAAUCUUGCGCAAUGGGCGAAAGCCUGACGCAGCCAUGCCGCGUGGAUGAUGAAGGUCUUAGGAUUGUAAAAUCCUUUCACCGGCGAAGAUAAUGACUGUAGCCGGAGAAGAAGCCCCGGCUAACUUCGUGCCAGCAGCCGCGGUAAUACGAAGGGGGCUAGCGUUGCUCGGAAUUACUGGGCGUAAAGGGAGCGUAGGCGGACAUUUAAGUCAGGGGUGAAAUCCCGAGGCUCAACCUCGGAACUGCCUUUGAUACUGGGUGUCUUGAGUGUGAGAGAGGUAUGUGGAACUCCGAGUGUAGAGGUGAAAUUCGUAGAUAUUCGGAAGAACACCAGUGGCGAAGGCGACAUACUGGCUCAUUACUGACGCUGAGGCUCGAAAGCGUGGGGAGCAAACAGGAUUAGAUACCCUGGUAGUCCACGCCGUAAAGCGAUGAUUGCUAGUUGUCGGGGAAANCCUUGCUUUUCGGUGACGCAGCUAACGCAUUAAGCAAUCCGCCUGGGGAGUACGGUCGCAAGAUUAAAACUCAAAGGAAUUGACGGGGGUCAUAGCUGUUUCCUG